This 596-nucleotide ribosomal RNA is filed under the name uncultured beta proteobacterium. RNAcentral describes it as "bacterial SSU rRNA". It matches the Rfam family "Bacterial small subunit ribosomal RNA", at positions 103 to 693 of the family's 1533-position model. Lineage: Bacteria; Pseudomonadati; Pseudomonadota; Betaproteobacteria. The record is from RNAcentral.
CGGGUGAGUAAUAUAUCGGAACAUACCCAGCUAGUGGGGGGAUAACUAUCCGAAAGGAUAGCUAAUACCGCAUACGAUCUGUGGAUGAAAGCAGGGGAUCUUCGGACCUUGUGCUAUUGGAAUGGCCGAUAUCUGAUUAGCUAGUUGGUAGGGUAAAAGCCUACCAAGGCGACGAUCAGUAGCUGGUCUGAGAGGACGACCAGCCACACUGGAACUGAGACACGGUCCAGACUCCUACGGGAGGCAGCAGUGGGGAAUUUUGGACAAUGGGGGCAACCCUGAUCCAGCAAUGCCGCGUGAGUGAAGAAGGCCCUCGGGUUGUAAAGCUCUUUUGUCAGGGAAGAAACGGAGUUCUCUAAUAUAGGAUUCUAAUGACGGUACCUGAAGAAUAAGCACCGGCUAACUACGUGCCAGCAGCCGCGGUAAUACGUAGGGUGCAAGCGUUAAUCGGAAUUACUGGGCGUAAAGCGUGCGCAGGCGGUUUUGUAAGUCUGAUGUGAAAUCCCCGGGCUCAACCUGGGAACUGCAUUGGAGACUGCAAGGCUAGAGUGUGUCAGAGGGGGGUAGAAUUCCACGUGUAGCAGUGAAAUGCGUAG